CCUACGGGUGGCAGCAGUGAGGAAUAUUGGUCAAUGGGCGCGAGCCUGAACCCGCCAAGUAGCGUGAAGGAUGACUGCCCUAUGGGUUGUAAACUUCUUUUAUAUAGGAAUACAGCGUUCCACGUGUGCCUUUUUGUAUGUACUUUAUGAAUAAGGAUCGGCUAACUCCGUUCCAGCAGCCGCGGUAAUACGGAGGAUCCGAGCGUUAUCCGGAUUUAUUGGGUUUAAAGGGAGCGUAGAUGGAUUGUUAAGUCAGUUGUGAAAGUUUGCGGCUCAACCGUAAAAUUGCAGUUGAUACUGGCAGUCUUGAGUACAGUAGAGGUAGGCGGAAUUCGUGGUGUAGCGGUGAAAUGCUUAGAUAUCACGAAGAACUCCGAUUGCGAAGGCAGUUCACUGGACUGCAACUGACACUGAGGCUCGAAAGUGUGGGGAUCAAACAGGAUUAGAUACCCUAGUAGUC
Molecule: ribosomal RNA, 460 nt
Filed under: uncultured bacterium
Lineage: Bacteria
Description: partial 16S ribosomal RNA
Rfam family: Bacterial small subunit ribosomal RNA
Source: RNAcentral